CAUGCAAGUCGAGCGGACCGACGGGAGCUUGCUCCCUUAGGUCAGCGGCGGACGGGUGAGUAACACGUGGGUAACCUGCCUGUAAGACUGGGAUAACUCCGGGAAACCGGGGCUAAUACCGGAUGCUUGAUUGAACCGCAUGGUUCAAUCAUAAAAGGUGGCUUUUAGCUACCACUUACAGAUGGACCCGCGGCGCAUUAGCUAGUUGGUGAGGUAACGGCUCACCAAGGCGACGAUGCGUAGCCGACCUGAGAGGGUGAUCGGCCACACUGGGACUGAGACACGGCCCAGACUCCUACGGGAGGCAGCAGUAGGGAAUCUUCCGCAAUGGACGAAAGUCUGACGGAGCAACGCCGCGUGAGUGAUGAAGGUUUUCGGAUCGUAAAACUCUGUUGUUAGGGAAGAACAAGUACCGUUCGAAUAGGGCGGCACCUUGACGGUACCUAACCAGAAAGCCACGGCUAACUACGUGCCAGCAGCCGCGGUAAUACGUAGGUGGCAAGCGUUGUCCGGAAUUAUUGGGCGUAAAGCGCGCGCAGGCGGUUUCUUAAGUCUGAUGUGAAAGCCCCCGGCUCAACCGGGGAGGGUCAUUGGAAACUGGGGAACUUGAGUGCAGAAGAGGAGAGUGGAAUUCCACGUGUAGCGGUGAAAUGCGUAGAGAUGUGGAGGAACACCAGUGGCGAAGGCGACUCUCUGGUCUGUAACU
RNAcentral lists this ribosomal RNA (706 nucleotides) under Bacillus sp. FJAT-17813. RNAcentral's name for it is "bacterial SSU rRNA". It matches the Rfam family "Bacterial small subunit ribosomal RNA", at positions 54 to 741 of the family's 1533-position model. The record is from RNAcentral. Lineage: Bacteria; Bacillati; Bacillota; Bacilli; Caryophanales; Bacillaceae.